This 24-nucleotide non-coding RNA is filed under the name Arabidopsis thaliana (thale cress). The record is from RNAcentral. Lineage: Eukaryota; Viridiplantae; Streptophyta; Magnoliopsida; Brassicales; Brassicaceae.
AGAUCCACCAUUAUGCCACGUAAA